RNAcentral lists this ribosomal RNA (253 nucleotides) under uncultured bacterium. RNAcentral's name for it is "partial 16S ribosomal RNA". It matches the Rfam family "Bacterial small subunit ribosomal RNA", at positions 524 to 776 of the family's 1533-position model. The record is from RNAcentral.
UACAGAGGGUGCAAGCGUUGUUCGGAAUUAUUGGGCGUAAAGGGCGCGUAGGCGGUGCCACAAGUCACCUGUGAAAUCUCCGGGCUUAACUCAAGAAGUGCCCCAGAAACGGUGAGACUAGAGUUCUGGAGAGGGUCGUGGAAUUCCCGGUGUAGCGGUGAAAUGCGUAGAGAUCGGGAGGAACACCAGAGGCGAAGGCGGCGACCUGGACAGAUACUGACACUCAACUACGAAAGCGUGGGGAGCAAACAGG